RNAcentral lists this ribosomal RNA (404 nucleotides) under Actinomycetes bacterium. RNAcentral's name for it is "Actinobacteria bacterium partial 16S ribosomal RNA". It matches the Rfam family "Bacterial small subunit ribosomal RNA", at positions 355 to 776 of the family's 1533-position model. The record is from RNAcentral. Lineage: Bacteria; Bacillati; Actinomycetota; Actinomycetes.
UGGGGAAUAUUGGACAAUGGGCGCAAGCCUGAUCCAGCCAUGCCGCGUGAGUGAUGAAGGCCCUAGGGUUGUAAAGCUCUUUCACCGGUGAAGAUAAUGACGGUAACCGGAGAAGAAGCCCCGGCUAACUUCGUGCCAGCAGCCGCGGUAAUACGAAGGGGGCUAGCGUUGUUCGGAUUUACUGGGCGUAAAGCGCACGUAGGCGGACUUUUAAGUCAGGGGUGAAAUCCCGGGGCUCAACCCCGGAACUGCCUUUGAUACUGGAAGUCUUGAGUAUGGUAGAGGUGAGUGGAAUUCCGAGUGAAGAGGUGAAAUUCGUAGAUAUUCGGAGGAACACCAGUGGCGAAGGCGGCUCACUGGACCAUUACUGACGCUGAGGUGCGAAAGCGUGGGGAGCAAACAGG